Long non-coding RNA from Anthonomus grandis grandis, 723 nucleotides. RefSeq lists it as uncharacterized. The transcript has 3 exons. The record is from RefSeq and is a predicted model, not a curated record. NCBI's taxonomy places the organism in Eukaryota, Metazoa, Arthropoda, Insecta, Coleoptera, Curculionidae.
UUCUUAAAAAUAUUAAUAACAAAAAUACGAAUAUGUCUAAAAAAGCAAAAAAUCAAUCCAAUACUCCUCAUAUACUUACUCAUGCAGAAAUCUCUAAACGAAUCAUUAAAGAUCCUAAGUUAAGAAAACAUAAAUGUGUAUCAAAUCAAGAUUCGCUAUUGGACCAUAUGAACAAAACUAGAGAGGAGCAAGUAGCUGAAUACAAUAAAAAGAAAGAAGAUUUUUUAAAUGCUGUGCGAGCAUAUAAUCGCAUGAAUACGGAUACCAUGUCUUGCGAGAAAACUAGGCUACAUGACGAGUACGAGGAAAUGUUAUGUGCCGAGUAUUUAAAUUUUUUGAAGGAGACCAAAGCUGAUCCUGAAGAAGAAUGUGAUCCAUAUUGCUGCUGUCCAAAAAGUCUACCUAACGAAACUGGACAACUUUUAAAAAAACGAACUCUUCGAAAAAUGAUGUAUACAGAAGAUCCCAAAACAAAAGUUUGUCUAAUAGCACCUUGGUUCAGGCGCUAUAUGAUUUUGAAAAAAUUUAUAUGGGCGGCUAGAACCGUCAUAAUUCAGAACAGGCUUCUUAAAGUACUAAACAAACUCAGAAUCCUUACAUUUCAAGAUAUUAGAGAAUUAGAAAAAGCAAAUAUAAAAAGCCCGGAAGAAUAUCACUGUCAUCCUGUGUUUCUGAAGUUUUUGUAAAUUUAAUGCAAAUAUAAAAUACACUAUAUAUAUAUAU